This is a non-coding RNA of Picea glauca (white spruce), 118 nucleotides long. NCBI's taxonomy places the organism in Eukaryota, Viridiplantae, Streptophyta, Pinopsida, Pinales, Pinaceae. The record is from Rfam.
AUGUACAUGCCUACAACGUGAAUGCACUGUAUCCCAUUAAAACUCCUAAGCUAAUCAUGCUUGGGCUAGAGUAGUACUAGGAUGGGUGACCUCCUAGAAAGUCCUAGUGUUUUACAUG